This 1224-nucleotide long non-coding RNA is filed under the name Heterocephalus glaber (naked mole-rat). Its description in RNAcentral is "lncRNA (ENSHGLG00100039107.1)". Lineage: Eukaryota; Metazoa; Chordata; Mammalia; Rodentia; Bathyergidae. The record is from RNAcentral.
CGAGUGGGAAAGGCACAGUUUAUUGGUCACACAGACAGGACAGCGGCCACGCAGGGCGUGUACUCACUGUCUCGCUCUCACACAUUCCAGGUCAAAAAGCAACAUGAGGAAAGACACCAACAAUCUACUCUCCUAGUAACCAAGGACACAGGGCUAAAAGCCAUGGAGCCUGAGACUGAGAAGUCCAGCCUCGCCGAUGGGCAGCAGAGCCUGGUGGGGCUGCCUGCCUCGAGCAGCGUACGGGAGCCUGGCAUGCAGACCCCGCAGGGCUUUGGACACCCUGACCCCAGGCUGAGGCGGGACUUCCGGCUAGAGAGCCGCAGUGGACUUCUGGCUCUUGCUCGGGCAGCUCCCUGCUCCCCAGGUGGCUGCAGAGACCCCGCCUUGUCUACAGCAGCGUUAAUCACCGAAGCUGGCCCGGGACUGAGCCUGUGCCCUGAAUGAGUCACACACACUCUCCGAGUCCCUGCAGCCGAACCCGUCUCGCCCUCGGGGGCACCAGCCUGCUUAAUGCUUUGCUGCUCAAACCCUCAGGACGCAGGGGCCUGGGCGCCUCUGCCCCUCUUCGAGGCUGGCACCUCCAGCUCGGAUGUUGCCAUCCCGCACAAUGUCCCUAAAGCACUUAUGUCCACGUGGCACAGGCCGACUCCUCCGCCAAGGGGCCACUAUUAUUGUUAACAUUAUUAUUAUUUAUAUCUCCACUCUCAAGUUGGCACUUCAGUUCAUUUUGGGGACUUGAACAAGACCCUGGGGUCCCAAGGGUGCGGCUGCCCUCCGGUGUGCAUCUUCCGACUGUGGCACCUGCUGCCGGGGGCACAGCCAGCGCACUUGGUGGGCCACACAGAAGCGAGGCCGUGCCCCCAAAAUACAAAGCUUUGCACAGGAAGCAAGGAAGGAGGUCGUGGGAGAGGCUUCCGAGGCUUCUGCUGCUCCUCUGGGCUCUUGUCACUGGCCAGUCCCCAAAGGCGUCACUGCUGCAUGAGAAAGGGGGGGCUGUCAGGGACGCACCUGCCCGGAUGCCCUGGGACCCUGCCCGCUGAGGGCCCGGCCAGCGUCCUGUGGCGUGGAAAGAGCCUGCCCGCUCUCUUCAGAGCCGUUUAGUACUUUCGGUGGGAUAGAAAACUACAAAUGCUUGAUUACAGUGAAAGACAUCACUACUCACUCUCCUCAGAAUUCUCCCCUCUCGCUUCAAACCCACUCAGCCCCUCAUUCUCACCACCUCCC